RNAcentral lists this unclassified non-coding RNA (231 nucleotides) under uncultured fungus. RNAcentral describes it as "sequence contains ITS1". The record is from RNAcentral. Lineage: Eukaryota; Fungi.
AUUAACAAAUCAUUGAGCGAAAGCUCACUAACCUUUGUGAAUUGGCUUGCGAAAGCAAGUUAGAUGGGUUUGAGGGGGCAAGGAAAAAGUUAGGGAAAGUUAGAGUUCGCUCUAACCGGAUGUAACCUUUUCCGAGCCAACAUUAUUAUUGUCUAAUUAUUAUUGGAUUUCGAAAGAUUUCUAACAACUAAUACAACUUUUAACAAUGGAUCUCUUGGCUCUUGCAUCGAU